CACCAUUGUGAUCCAAAAGUGAAAACCUUCUUUUUUUCCCUUUUUUUUUUCUCUUUUCACAUCUUAAUUUCGAUCUAUUUCUUACCGGUGUAAUCACCAAAGUAAAAUUUCUGGUACAUUCAUAUGAGAAUGUUUAGUACAUCAUGACAGAAUCACUUAUUUUAUUUGUGUAUCAAUUUUGUCUAAACAGAGAGAGAAUUUAGGUUGUCCGUAAUUCAGAUCGGAAUGGACUUCAAGAUCUAUAUCUCUUUUUUUCCAGGGAGAAGAGAUCAUAAAAAUCGCGAUCCGACAAAACAUUCAAUCAACAACCAAAUAGGGAGUUUGCUCCUACGGGAGGUAGCAGUGGGGAAUUUUCCGCAAUGGGCGAAAGCUUGACGGAGCAAUGCCGCAUGAAGGCAGAAGGCCCACGGGUCAUGAACUUAUUUUCUUGGAGAAGAAACAAUGAUGAUAUCUGAGGAAUAAGAAUUGGAUAACUCUAUGCUAGUAGCCGUGGUAAGACAUAGGAUGCAAGCGUUAUCUGGAAUGAUUGGGCAUAAAGCAUCUGUAGGUGGAUUUUCAAGUCUUCCGUCAAAUCCCAGGGCUCAACCCUAGACAGGCGGUGGAAAAUACCAAGAUAGAGUAUGGUAGGGGCAGAGGGAAUUUCCAGUGGAGCGGUGAAAUGCGUUGAGAUCGGAAAGAACACCAACGGUAAAAGCACUCUGCUAGGCCGACACUGACACUGAGAGACGAAAUCUAGGGGAGAAAAUGGGAUUAGAUACCCCAGUAGUCCUAGCUGUAAAUGAUGGAUACUAAGUGAUGUGCGUAUCGACCCAUGCAGUGUUGUAGCUAACGCGUUAAGUAUCCCACUUGGGGAGUACAUUCGCAAGAAUGAAACUCAAAGGAAUUGACGGGGGCCCGCACAAGUGGUGGAGCAUGUGGCUCAAUUCGAUGCAAAGUGAAGAACCUUACCAGGGCUUGACAUGUCGUGAAUCCUCCCGAAAGAGAGUGACUUCGGGAACGCGGACAUAGGUGGUGCAUGGCUGUCGUCAGCUCGUGCCGUAAGGUGUUGGGUUAAGUCCCGCAACGAGCGCAACCCUCAUGUUUAGUUUCCAACAUUGAGUUUGGAACCCUGAACAUACUACCAGUGAUAAGCCAGAGGAAGGUGAGGAUGACGUCAAGUCAUCAUGCCCCUUACGCCCUAGGCGACACACAUGCUACAAUGACCGGGACAAAGGGUCACGACCCCACGAGGGCAAGCUAACCUCAAAAACCAGGCCUUAGUUCAGAUUGCAGGCUGCAACUCGCUUGCAUGAAGACAGAAUCGCUAGUAAUCACCGGUCAGCCAUACGGCGGUGAAUCCAUUCCCGAGCCUUGUACACACCACCCGUCACACUAUGGGAGCU
Non-coding RNA from Picea glauca (white spruce), 1382 nucleotides. NCBI's taxonomy places the organism in Eukaryota, Viridiplantae, Streptophyta, Pinopsida, Pinales, Pinaceae. The record is from Rfam.